This 496-nucleotide ribosomal RNA is filed under the name uncultured bacterium. Its description in RNAcentral is "partial 16S ribosomal RNA". It matches the Rfam family "Bacterial small subunit ribosomal RNA", at positions 29 to 507 of the family's 1533-position model. The record is from RNAcentral.
AUGAACGCUGGCGGCGUGCCUAAUACAUGCCAGUCGCGCGAACAGAUAAGGAGCUUGCUCCUUUGACGUUAGCGGCGGACGGGUGAGUAACACGUGGGUAACCUACCUAUAAGACUGGGAUAACUUCGGGAAACCGGAGCUAAUACCGGUUAAUAUUUCGAACCGCAUGGUUCGAUAGUGAAAGAUGGUUUUGCUAUCACUUAUAGAUGGACCCGCGCCGUAUUAGCUAGUUGGUAAGGUAACGGCUUACCAAGGCGACGAUACGUAGCCGACCUGAGAGGGUGAUCGGCCACACUGGAACUGAGACACGGUCCAGACUCCUACGGGAGGCAGCAGUAGGGAAUCUUCCGCAAUGGGCGAAAGCCUGACGGAGCAACGCCGCGUGAGUGAUGAAGGUCUUCGGAUCGUAAAACUCUGUUAUUAGGGAAGAACAUACGUGUAAGUAACUGUGCACGUCUUGACGGUACCUAAUCAGAAAGCCACGGCUAACUACGUG